RNAcentral lists this ribosomal RNA (253 nucleotides) under uncultured bacterium. RNAcentral's name for it is "partial 16S ribosomal RNA". It matches the Rfam family "Bacterial small subunit ribosomal RNA", at positions 524 to 776 of the family's 1533-position model. The record is from RNAcentral.
UACAGGGGGGGCAAGCGUUGUUCGGAAUUACUGGGCGUAAAGGGCUCGUAGGCGGCCAACUAAGUCACACGUGAAAUCCCCAGGCUUAACCUGGGAACUGCGUGUGAUACUGGAUGGCUUGAAUCCGGGAGAGGGAUGCGGAAUUCCAGGUGUAGCGGUGAAAUGCGCAGAUAUCAGGAGGAACACCAAUGGCGAAGGCAGCUCGCUGGGACGUGACUGACGCUGAGACGCGAAAGCGUGGGGAGCGAACAGG